AUAUAGGUUAAGUUAUUAAGGGCGCAUGGUGGAUGCCUUGGCACUAGGAGCCGAUGAAGGACGUGACUAACUGCGAUAAGCUUCGGGGAGUUGUAAGUAAACUGUGAUCCGGAGAUUUCCGAAUGGGGAAACCCAGCAGGAGUAAAGACCUGUUAUCACUGAGUGAAUACAUAGCUCAGUCGAAGGUAGACGUGGGGAACUGAAACAUCUAAGUACCCAUAGGAAGAGAAAGAAAAUUCGAUUCCCUGAGUAGCGGCGAGCGAAAAGGGAACAGCCCAAACCAAGAAGCUUGCUUCUUGGGGUUGUAGGACUGGACAUUUGAGUUACCAAGAAACGAAGUAGUUGAAUGAUUUGGGAAGAUCAGCCAGAGAAGGUGAUAGCCCUGUAAGCGAAACUUCGUUUCCUCAGCCCAGUAUCCUGAGUACGGCGGAACACGUGAAACUCCGUCGGAAUCCGGGAGGACCAUCUCCCAAGGCUAAAUACUCCCUAGUGACCGAUAGUGAACCAGUACCGUGAGGGAAAGGUGAAAAGCACCCCGGGAGGGGAGUGAAAUAGUUCCUGAAACCAUGUGCCUACAAGUAGUCAGAGCCCGUUAAUGGGUGAUGGCGUGCCUUUUGUAGAAUGAACCGGCGAGUUACGUUAGCGUGCGAGGUUAAGGCGCAAAGGCCGGAGCCGUAGCGAAAGCGAGUCUGAAUAGGGCGAAUGAGUACGUUGACGUAGACCCGAAACCAGGUGACCUACCCAUGUCCAGGUUGAAGGUGCGGUAAGACGCACUGGAGGACCGAACCCGUGUAUGUUGAAAAAUGCUGGGAUGAGGUGUGGGUAGAGGUGAAAUUCCAAACGAACUUGGAGAUAGCUGGUUCUCUCCGAAAUAGCUUUAGGGCUAGCCUCGGAGUUAAGGAUCGUGGAGGUAGAGCACUGUUUGGACUAGGGGCCCGUCUUGGGUUACUGAAUUCAGAUAAACUCCGAAUGCCACAGAUCUAUAUCCGGGAGUCAGACUGCGAGUGAUAAGAUCCGUAGUCGAAAGGGAAACAGCCCAGACCACCGAUUAAGGUCCCUAAAUAUGUGUUAAGUGGAAAAGGAUGUGGAAUUGCACAGACAACUAGGAUGUUGGCUUAGAAGCAGCCACCAUUUAAAGAGUGCGUAAUAGCUCACUAGUCGAGUGAUCCUGCGCCGAAAAUGUAACGGGGCUAAACACAUUACCGAAAUCGUGGAUGCAACUAUGUUGCAUGGUAGGAGAGCGUUCUAAGGGCGAUGAAGCUAGACCGUAAGGACUGGUGGAGCGCUUAGAAGUGAGAAUGCCGGUAUGAGUAGCGAAAGAUCAGUGAGAAUCUGGUCCACCGUAUGACUAAGGUUUCCUGGGGAAGGCUCGUCCUCCCAGGGUUAGUCGGGACCUAAGCCGAGGCCGAGAGGCGUAGGCGAUGGAUAACAGGUUGAGAUUCCUGUACUGGUUUGAUUUGUUUGAACGAUGGAGGGACGCAGGAGGCUAGAGAUGCGUGCUGUUGGAUAUGCACGUCCAAGCAACAAGUCUGAUGAUGAGUCAAAUGCUUAUCAUCUUAAGGACAAGUUGUGACGGGGAGCGAAAUUAAAGUAGCGAAGUGAUCGAUGUCACACUGCCGAGAAAAGCUUCUAGUUAGAAUCAGACCACCCGUACCGCAAACCGACACAGGUAGUCGAGGCGAGUAGCCUAAGGUGAGCGAGAGAACUCUCGUUAAGGAACUCGGCAAAAUGACCCCGUAACUUCGGGAGAAGGGGUGCUGCACAAUGUGCAGCCGCAGUGAAUAGGCCCAGGCGACUGUUUAUCAAAAACACAGGUUUCUGCAAAAUCGUAAGAUGAAGUAUAGGGGCUGACGCCUGCCCGGUGCUGGAAGGUUAAGAGGAUGGGUUAGCGUAAGCGAAGCUCAGAAUUGAAGCCC
This 1916-nucleotide ribosomal RNA is filed under the name Campylobacter jejuni. Its description in RNAcentral is "partial 23S ribosomal RNA". It matches the Rfam family "Bacterial large subunit ribosomal RNA", at positions 1 to 1920 of the family's 2925-position model. Lineage: Bacteria; Pseudomonadati; Campylobacterota; Epsilonproteobacteria; Campylobacterales; Campylobacteraceae. The record is from RNAcentral.